UACGUAGGGGGCAAGCGUUAUCCGGAUUUACUGGGUGUAAAGGGAGCGUAGGCGGCGAUGCAAGUCAGAUGUGAAAGCCCGGGGCUCAACCUCGGGACUGCAUUUGAAACUGUAUUGCUUGAGUAUCGGAGAGGUGAGUGGAAUUCCUAGUGUAGCGGUGAAAUGCGUAGAUAUUAGGAAGAACACCGGUGGCGAAGGCGGCUCACUGGACGAUAACUGACGCUGAGGCUCGAAAGCGUGGGGAG
Molecule: ribosomal RNA, 245 nt
Filed under: uncultured Lachnospiraceae bacterium
Lineage: Bacteria; Bacillati; Bacillota; Clostridia; Lachnospirales; Lachnospiraceae
Description: partial 16S ribosomal RNA
Rfam family: Bacterial small subunit ribosomal RNA
Source: RNAcentral